Molecule: ribosomal RNA, 502 nt
Filed under: uncultured bacterium
Lineage: Bacteria
Description: bacterial SSU rRNA
Rfam family: Bacterial small subunit ribosomal RNA
Source: RNAcentral
AGUUUGAUCCUGGCUCAGAUUGAACGCUGGCGGAAUGCUUUACACAUGCAAGUCGAACGGCAGCACGGGGGCAACCCUGGUGGCGAGUGGCGAACGGGUGAGUAAUACAUCGGAACGUGCCCAGUCGUGGGGGAUAACGUAGCGAAAGCUACGCUAAUACCGCAUACGAUCUACGGAUGAAAGCGGGGGAUCGCAAGACCUCGCGCGAUUGGAGCGGCCGAUGGCAGAUUAGGUAGUUGGUGGGGUAAAGGCUCACCAAGCCUUCGAUCUGUAGCUGGUCUGAGAGGACGACCAGCCACACUGGGACUGAGACACGGCCCAGACUCCUACGGGAGGCAGCAGUGGGGAAUUUUGGACAAUGGGCGAAAGCCUGAUCCAGCCAUUCCGCGUGCAGGAUGAAGGCCCUCGGGUUGUAAACUGCUUUUGUACGGAACGAAACGGCCUUUUCUAAUACAGAGGGCUAAUGACGGUACCGUAAGAAUAAGCACCGGCUAACUACGUG